AACUGCAGUGAGCCAAGAUUGCACCACCGCACUCCAGCCUGGGCAGCAGAGAAGGACCCUAUCUCAAAACAAACAAAAAUCAAAAAUGAAAUAAAAUGCUUACUGUCGGCGCCCCUUCUCUUCAGAAGUCCAGAUGAGGGGCCUCUAAUCAAGGUGGUGACUGGGCCACACAGCCACGGCCUUCCUCAGGGUGAGCCCUUCCCUCGGGGUGCUCCCUUCCCCUCCAUUCCUUCCAUUCCCUUCCACUCCCCCUUCCCUUUCCACCUUCCCCUCAUUCCCUUCCCUCCCUUCCAUUCUCCCUUCCCUCCAUUCCUUCCAUUCUCCCUUCCAUUCUCCCUUCCGUCCUUCCCUCCAUUCUCCCUUCCAGUGCGUCCCUUCCCAUUCUUCCCUUCCCUCGGUGCUCCCUUCCUAGGUGAGCCGCUUCCCUCCGGUGCUCCCUUCCCUCGGUGUGCGUCCUUCCCUGGGGUACUCCCUUCCCUCAGUGCUCCCUUCCCUGAGUGCAUCCUUCCCUCGGGGUGCUCCCUUCCCUCGGGGUGCUCCUUCCCUCGGGGUGCUCCCUUCCCUCGGGGUGCUCCCUUCCCUCGGGGUGCUCCCUUCCCUCGGGAUGAGCCCUUCCCUCAGGGUGCGCCCAGGCAUGUGUGGCCUCCCUACUCACUGCUGUUUCUUCCUGUCUCCUUCCUGGUGAGUUCUUACCCACUGUUGCCCACCGUCUGCUGAUUUCUGAUCACUUGUCUUCCCUCUUGAGCUUGGUGAACAGACCAGGAGGAAGGUACAGGAUGGCCCCCGUCACCCCCCGAAAAUUUCUAGGACCAAAGCCCAAAAGCCGGAGGGGAGAAGAAGGACCCCACUCAGGGCUGGGAAAGCUGACCUGAGGCCUGGCACCCUGCAGUGGCGUGGGGCGGUCUUGUGUGGCUGUGUGCCCCUCAACCAGGCAGGUGAGAGCGGGGAGGGAAGUGGGUACAAGUGAGCAAGUGUGUGAGUGUUAGUGUGUGGGUGUAUGACUGUCAGUGUGUGUGUGUCUGAGUGUAUGUGUGUGUGUGAGUGUGAGUGUGUGGGGUGUGUGUUUCUGAGUGUAAGUAUGUGUGUCUGAGUUUGAGUAUAUGUGACUGAGUGUGAGUGGGUGUCUGAGUGUUAGUGUGAGUGUGUGUGUCUGCGUGUUAGCAUGUGUCUGAGUGUGUGUCUGAGUGUGAGUAUGUGUCUGAGUAUGUGUGACUGCGUAUGUGUGUCUGAGUGUGUGUGUGUAUCUGCAUUGAGUGUGUGUCUGAGGGUUAGUGUGUGUGUCUCACUGUGUGUGUGUGUGAGAGUGUGAGUGGGUGCUUGAGUGUUAGUGUGAGGGUGUGUCUGAGUGUGUGUAUGUUAGUGUGUGAGUAUAUGAGUGUGAGUGUGUGCACCCUGGGAAGAGGCAUGGGCUAGGAAUAAAAUACUUUCCCAGAGUGUAGCAAAUAAUAGCAAAGUUCACCAAUCAGUUCUCUCAGUUCUCUCAGUUCUCCUGCUGCCUUAAGCAACUAUGGGCUUUCAUUCUUCAACUUUCUUCUCUCUCUCUCUAUCGCUCACACACACACACACACACACACACACACACACGCACCAUGAGACCUCUUCUGAGCCCUCCUGGUAAGGCUGGGCUCCCUGCUGCCCCCACAUCCCCUCACUUACACCAAAUUCCAUCCCCCGACUGGAAUGUUUGGGGUGAGAGCCCCUCCUCUGUCCUAUUUGCACCAGCGUCGGCUGAAAGUGUCAGGAAGUGUGACCGCCUCUCAUGGACCCGGAA
Molecule: long non-coding RNA, 1771 nt
Filed under: Papio anubis (olive baboon)
Lineage: Eukaryota; Metazoa; Chordata; Mammalia; Primates; Cercopithecidae
Description: lncRNA (ENSPANG00000050210.1)
Source: RNAcentral